Molecule: ribosomal RNA, 468 nt
Filed under: uncultured bacterium
Lineage: Bacteria
Description: partial 16S ribosomal RNA
Rfam family: Bacterial small subunit ribosomal RNA
Source: RNAcentral
GACGAACGCUGGCGGCGUGCUUAACACAUGCAAGUCGAACGGAAAGGCCCUGCUUUUGUGGGGUGCUCGAGUGGCGAACGGGUGAGUAACACGUGAGUAACCUGCCCUUGACUUUGGGAUAACUUCAGGAAACUGGGGCUAAUACCGGAUAGGAGCUCCUGCUGCAUGGUGGGGGUUGGAAAGUUUCGGCGGCUGGGGAUGGACUCGCGGCUUAUCAGCUUGUUGGUGGGGUAGUGGCUUACCAAGGCUUUGACGGGUAGCCGGCCUGCGAGGGUGACCGGCCACAUUGGGACUGAGAGACGGACCAGACUCCUACGGGAGGCAGCAGUGGGGAAUAUUGCACAAUGGGCGGAAGCCUGAUGCAGCAACGCCGCGUGCGGGAUGACGGCCUUCGGGGUGUAAACCGCUUUCGCCUGUGACGAAGCGUGAGUGACGGUAAUGGGUAAAGAAGCACCGGCUAACUACGUG